Molecule: ribosomal RNA, 1017 nt
Filed under: uncultured bacterium
Lineage: Bacteria
Description: bacterial SSU rRNA
Rfam family: Bacterial small subunit ribosomal RNA
Source: RNAcentral
CAUGGCCGCGGGAUUGUGCCAGCAGCCGCGGUAAUACGUAGGGUGCAAGCGUUAAUCGGAAUUACUGGGCGUAAAGCGUGCGCAGGCGGUUUUGUAAGACAGUGGUGAAAUCCCCGGGCUCAACCUGGGAACUGCCAUUGUGACUGCAAGGCUGGAGUGCGGCAGAGGGGAAUGGAAUUCCGGCGUGUAGCAGUGAAAUGCCGUAGAUAUGCGGAGGAACACCGAUGGCGAAGGCAAUCCCCUGGGCCUGCACUGACGCUCAUGCACGAAAGCGUGGGGAGCAAACAGGAUUAGAUAACCCUGGUAGUCCACGCCCUAAACGAUGUCAACUGGUUGUUGGGAAUUAACUUUCUCAGUAACGAAGCUAACGCGUGAAGUUGACCCGCCUGGGGAGUACGGCCGCAAGGUUUAAAACUCAAAGGAAUUGACGGGGACCCGCACAAGCGGUGGAUGAUGUGGUUUAAUUCGAUGCAACGCGAAAAACCUUACCCACCUUUGACAUGGCAGGAACUUACCAGAGAUGGUUUGGUGCUCGAAAGAGAACCUGCACACAGGUGCUGCAUGGCUGUCGUCAGCUCGUGUCGUGAGAUGUUGGGUUAAGUCCCGCAACGAGCGCAACCCUUGCCAUUAGUUGCUACAUUCAGUUGAGCACUCUAAUGGGACUGCCGGUGACAAACCGGAGGAAGGUGGGGAUGACGUCAAGUCCUCAUGGCCCUUAUAGGUGGGGCUACACACGUCAUACAAUGGCUGGUACAAAGGGUUGCCAACCCGCGAGGGGGAGCUAAUCCCAUAAAGCCAGUCGUAGUCCGGAUCGCAGUCUGCAACUCGACUGCGUGAAGUCGGAAUCGCUAGUAAUCGUGGAUCAGAAUGUCACGGUGAAUACGUUCCCGGGUCUUGUACACACCGCCCGUCACACCAUGGGAGCGGGUCUCGCCAGAAGUAGGUAGCCUAACCGCAAGGAGGGCGCUUACCACGGCGGGGUUCGUGACUGGGGUGAAGUCGUAACAAGGUAACCGA